This 809-nucleotide ribosomal RNA is filed under the name uncultured bacterium. RNAcentral's name for it is "bacterial SSU rRNA". It matches the Rfam family "Bacterial small subunit ribosomal RNA", at positions 8 to 796 of the family's 1533-position model. The record is from RNAcentral.
AGAGUUUGAUCAUGGCUCAGAACGAACGCUGGCGGCGUGCCUAAAACAUGCAAGUCGAGCGAGAAAGCCCGCAAGGGUGAGUAAAGCGGCGCACGGGUGCGUAACACGUGGGUAAUCUGCCUUGAUCAGGGGGAUAACCAGCCGAAAGGUUGACUAAUACCCCAUAAGCCCACGGGAGCUUCGGCUCCUGAGGGAAAAGGGCGGCCUCUGUAUACAAGCUGUCGGAUCAAGAUGAGCCCGCGGCCCAUCAGUUAGUUGGCGGUGUAAAAGACCACCAAGACUAUGACGGGUAGCUGGUCUGAGAGGACGAUCAGCCACACUGGAACUGAGACACGGUCCAGACUCCUACGGGAGGCAGCAGUUGGGAAUAUUGCGCAAUGGGCGAAAGCCUGACGCAGCAACGCCGCGUGAGCGAUGAAGGUCUUCGGAUCGUAAAGCUCUUUCGGCCCGGACGAAAACCUACUACUUCAUAAGUGGUAGCUUGACGGUACGGGAAGAAGAAGCACCGGCUAACUCUGUGCCAGCAGCCGCGGUAAUACAGAGGGUGCAAGCGUUGUUCGGAAUUAUUGGGCGUAAAGCGCGUGUAGGCGGUCUGUUAUGUCGGGUGUGAAAGCCCUCAGCUCAACUGAGGAAGUGCGCCCGAAACUGGCAGACUUGAGUGCCGGAGAGGAUAGCGGAACACCCGGUGUAGAGGUGAAAUUCGUAGAUAUCGGGUAGAACACCAGUGGCGAAGGCGGCUAUCUGGACGGACACUGACGCUGAGACGCGAAAGCGUGGGGAGCAAACAGGAUUAGAUACCCUAGUAGUCC